AGCUUUACAUUGUGAGUAAAUAAAAAUUAUGAAAGCAAAAAAUUAUGGCGGUAUUUUAAGCUUUUCAGAGGAAUUUGCUCUUUAAUGGAUAAAACACCUAAAUCUUACUUAAAUUUGUUAUUUCAAUUUGUAUACCACUAUAAAAACAAUUCAUAACUCUAAUUGUUAAAAUUUACUAUAUUAAAAUAUAUUAAGUCAAGGUGCAGUAAAAAUUUAAGGAUGAAGUGAAUUACAUUACUUUUUAGGGAAAAAAAUUAAAAUAAUAUUUAGGAUUUGAAAGUAAAAUUAAAAUAAAAUGUUAAUUUGAAUUAAGCUCUAAAAUAUGUACAUAUCGCCCGUCACU
Molecule: ribosomal RNA, 343 nt
Filed under: Rhipicephalus sp. Morphotype 3
Lineage: Eukaryota; Metazoa; Arthropoda; Arachnida; Ixodida; Ixodidae
Description: partial 12S ribosomal RNA
Source: RNAcentral